Molecule: ribosomal RNA, 253 nt
Filed under: uncultured bacterium
Lineage: Bacteria
Description: partial 16S ribosomal RNA
Rfam family: Bacterial small subunit ribosomal RNA
Source: RNAcentral
UACGAAGGGGGCUAGCGUUGUUCGGAAUUACUGGGCGUAAAGCGAACGUAGGCGGUGUUCCAUGUCAGAGGUGAAAGCCUGGGGCUCAACUCCAGAACUGCCUUUGAAACGGGAACGCUUGAGUCCGAGAGAGGAUGGCGGAAUUCCUAGUGUAGAGGUGAAAUUCGUAGAUAUUAGGAAGAACACCAGUGGCGAAGGCGGCCAUCUGGCUCGGUACUGACGCUCAGGUUCGAAAGCGUGGGGAGCAAACAGG